UUUAGUGGUAAAACUAGCCUUCCAAGCU
This 28-nucleotide transfer RNA is filed under the name Radula amentulosa. Its description in RNAcentral is "partial tRNA-Gly". The record is from RNAcentral. Lineage: Eukaryota; Viridiplantae; Streptophyta; Jungermanniopsida; Radulales; Radulaceae.